UGCAUUAUAAGUGUUCAUCAUCAUCCGGCCUGUCACGCCGGAGGUCGCGGGUUCGAGCCCCGUCACUCCCGCCA
This 74-nucleotide transfer RNA is filed under the name Xanthobacter versatilis. Its description in RNAcentral is "Xanthobacter autotrophicus Py2 tRNA-Ser-CGA-3-1". Lineage: Bacteria; Pseudomonadati; Pseudomonadota; Alphaproteobacteria; Hyphomicrobiales; Xanthobacteraceae. The record is from RNAcentral.